AGCAGCGAUAAUGUGAAAAAGGAAGGUGCAAGUAACAUAUUACUUUUCAUUGGGCCAAACCUGGCUUGUGACCCAUUCAAUCGCCAUCAGAAUCGGUAAACCCUAGAAUACUCACUUCCGUUUAUAAAUACACCGUCUCAACUCUACAACUUGUACACAGCAGCUCUGCAGUUUCUCACAUCUUCACCAUGAUUCAAUGUACUUUAUGCUGUUUAUAAGUUUUACGAAGUGAAUACUUCUCUAUAUUUUCUUUUUCUUGUUUAAUUUGCUGCGUUUUACUUGAUUAUGAACCGUUAAUGGAUGCGUGCACAAUAAGCCGAUGGUCUGGAUCUGGAAAAUGAUGGAACCAUGGUAGUGUGCACGCAAAUUGAUCUUGUUAAGGUCCGCAUGUCUGCUCUCUCUGAUUCCUGACUUGAUUUGAGGGCCUGCUUUUAGGCAACAAUUUAGAGUCUCUGAUUUGCUUAUUCGAUAGCGAUUUCAGUGCUGUACGUUGCCGAUACUAAUUGGAACUGAAGUUUUUCUGCAUCUGUCAUUCUAGGCUUAUGCAUUCAGAUCUUCCUACAAUUUGUUAUAUUAAGUAAACUUGUUCGAUUGAGUUCUUGUAUUUUCUGUUUUUAUUAUACUUAUAUAUGUUAAUUUGAUGAUUGCCUCUAUUUAGCCUUGAUCUGUUGGAUUGGUCAAAUGACCCUUCCAUCAGUUGUUGCAUUUUACAGCAAUUAUAAUCUUUAACCUGUUCUUGACAAGCUUUUUUGAUUAAUGUAAUGGUUUAUCCAUUUCCGUGUUUAUUAAUUUACAAUCAUAUGUAUUUUAAUAAUAUUAGAUAUCUAUGUAUUUGAUGUAAUUUGAACGGCUUGUCGGUCUUAAUGCUAAGAGUGAUUGCUUGGUUACCAAUUAUAAUUUUAGAUUAAUUAAACUAUAAUUUGUAGUCAAUAUUUAUGAGAACUGAAGAUUUUUACUGUAUGACAUACCGUUCUUGAAAUUUCUACCAAGUAUUUAAGCUUGAUAAAGUUUGUAGCAAUAUGCUUAUAUGUCAUUUUUUUGGAGAAGCAAAAUGAAAUUAAAAUAAAGGAAAAACUUCUAGCACAAAGCAUGCUAGAAUUACAGUUGACGCCGGCUUGCAUCAGAUAGAUCUUACCCAAUUCUAAAAACGAUUACGCUCCAGAACUAUAUUCAAGCCAAAUCUAAGUUUUACCAGCCCAGGAAACCUAUCUAGAAUAAAUACGUGAUGGCUUGAAGAAAAAUGGAGUGUCGCAUUACUUGAGUAGCAAAUGCAGUCGAGCCAGUGGCUAUAGGGUUGGCACUUGGAACAGACUUAGUUGGAACACUUUUGGUCUUUUUCAUUUUCUCAAAGAAGUAUUUCUCAAAGACCUCUUUCGAUAUUGUCUUACCAUCGUCAUGGAUGAAUUGAGCUAGUUGUGUAUCCUUAACACCUACUUCAAUGCUAUGAUGAUGGAUUUGGACAUCCAGAGCAUGGACAAAGGUGGUGUUAAGCCACAAUUGUAAUAACUAUACAGGGUCUCAUAUUUAAAAGUUGUCGAGAUGGCUUCCACACACACGAUCGAUGGAUGUGUGUCCCAACACCUCUUAAAGGUCUGCAAGGAUCAGUUUGCUAAGUCAAACAUCUUUCCGAUCACGAAUUUUGGUCGCCAGAGAUACAUACAUCUUUGGGAUAUAGACCUCACGAGGAAAGAAGACGUAACAACAAAGCUAAUAUGUAAAAAAUGUUUUUUUUUUUUUGAAUAAGGCAUCAGGAAUGCCAAAAUAAUACAUAGCAGUAUUCCAACUAUUAA
Long non-coding RNA from Vicia villosa (hairy vetch), 1790 nucleotides. RefSeq lists it as uncharacterized. The transcript has 2 exons. The record is from RefSeq and is a predicted model, not a curated record. NCBI's taxonomy places the organism in Eukaryota, Viridiplantae, Streptophyta, Magnoliopsida, Fabales, Fabaceae.